GAAGCGCGAUCUAUAUCAUGGACUCUUCGGAGAAAUCAAAAUAUCAAUACAAAAACCUUAUAGACAUUCUUAACAAAGCAUGGGCUCGCUUCCGUCGACAUCACGCAGGUGAAUUCAAGGAGGAACUUGAUUUCAAGCCUGAAUUCCAAGUCUGUGUUGAAUUUCCACAUCUCGUAACACUUCCUUGAAUACAACAAAUAUUUCAUAACUUCUUUUGCCAUAUACAUAGUGUUUGAGAUAGAAUCUGGGGAAUAAUUUAUGCGGAUACUACGUAUGUGAGUUCAUCCAUGACUUUGUAGGUCCCAAGCGUAUAGUCGACCACGAAUUCAGAGUACAUAUACAAAUUUCUUAACAAUAAAUUAGUUCUAAUUGUGCAAACCCAUUGAUCUACUAUAUAAUAAUAUUUGCUAAUGAUAUAGGUGAGAGACAUGAAGGAAGCACUCCUCGAGAUGGAAAAAAUCAGGGUAAUUCAAGAACACCUGGAUGGAUUUCUUCUGGACGAGGUAGUAAAUCCAGCGGGGGAGUUCCAUAAUGAUGGAUCAAAUCUGCAUCACCGUCAGGACUUGGGUUCAGAAUAGUUACUCCAAAAUGUUGAAAUUGGAAAGUUGAUACAAUGUAAUAUUAUUCAUAUAUGUAUAUGCACA
RNAcentral lists this long non-coding RNA (644 nucleotides) under Setaria italica (foxtail millet). RNAcentral's name for it is "long non-coding RNA (SITA_LNC007350)". Lineage: Eukaryota; Viridiplantae; Streptophyta; Magnoliopsida; Poales; Poaceae. The record is from RNAcentral.